RNAcentral lists this ribosomal RNA (249 nucleotides) under Triticum aestivum (bread wheat). RNAcentral describes it as "partial small subunit ribosomal RNA". Lineage: Eukaryota; Viridiplantae; Streptophyta; Magnoliopsida; Poales; Poaceae. The record is from RNAcentral.
GACUGCAAGUUGGUCCACUCUGGAAGCUGCUGCGACUGCAAGGAGAUUGUGGGGAAGACAAUGUAGAUUGUGAGAACCGAAUCUGAGCAAUGGACUGAGAUGCAGGACAUGCUGGAGCAGGUCAGGCCAGAGAUGCAAGAGCUGCCGUCUUCCAGGGAUACAUGGCAACGCCGCCCAAUUGCUUCUUACAUCAGUCUUGGUUCCUUGAAUUAUGCGGUUAGUGGCCUCUACUUAUGCUUGCAUCAUUAG